RNAcentral lists this ribosomal RNA (502 nucleotides) under uncultured bacterium. Its description in RNAcentral is "bacterial SSU rRNA". It matches the Rfam family "Bacterial small subunit ribosomal RNA", at positions 29 to 507 of the family's 1533-position model. The record is from RNAcentral.
AAUGAACGCUGGCGGCGUGCCUAACACAUGCAAGUCGCACGAGAAAGACUGUUUCGGACGGUCGAGUAAAGUGGCGCACGGGUGAGUAUCGCGUAGGUAACCUGCCCCUGUAUCGGGGAUAACUCCGCGAAAGCGGGGCUAAUACCGGAUGAGACCCUGGGAUGGUGGUUCUGGGGUGAAAGUGGGCCACUCGAAGAAGCUCAUGUACGGGGAUGGGCCUGCGUCCUAUCAGCUGGUUGGUGGGGUAAUGGCCUACCAAGGCGACGACGGGUAGCUGGUCUGAGAGGAUGAUCAGCCACACUGGCACUGGAACACGGGCCAGACUCCUACGGGAGGCAGCAGUGAGGAAUUUUGCGCAAUGGGAGCAAUCCUGACGCAGCAACGCCGCGUGGGUGAAGAAGGCCUUCGGGUCGUAAAGCCCUGUCAGGUGGGAAGAAAUGUUCCGCCAAGAAACGGGUGGGAUUUGACGGUACCACCAGAGGAAGCACCGGCUAACUCCGUG